This is an RNA transcript of Gigantopelta aegis, 2531 nucleotides long. It is a transcript of the gene named peptidyl-prolyl cis-trans isomerase FKBP4-like, with no coding region annotated. Lineage: Eukaryota; Metazoa; Mollusca; Gastropoda; Neomphalida; Peltospiridae. The transcript has 9 exons. The record is from RefSeq and is a predicted model, not a curated record.
AAUAGUUAUCCAUGCGUUUUCCAGAAAUUUCGUUUCUAUAGUUGUAGUUCCGUGAUCAUCCUUUUCACGAGAGCAGCAGAUCACUAUGACGAAUAUGGACAGCGAAACCGUAGCGCAAUCCGAAUUAAACGAAGCUAUUGACAUUACACCUAACAAGGACGGUGGUGUGCUGAAAGAGAUUUUGCGAGCCGGAGAAGGCGACUCGACGCCAAGUCCCGAAAAUAAAGUCACAGUCCAUUAUGUGGGCACGCUUACUGACGGAACCCAGUUCGAUUCUAGCCGAGAAAGAGGGGACAAGUUUGAGUUUGAGCUUGGAACAGGAAAGGUAAUAAAAGCAUGGGACCUGGGAAUUGCUACUAUGAAGUGUGGCGAGCUGGCCAAGUUCACCUGUAAACACGAAUACGCCUAUGGUGAAGGUGGAUCACCUCCAAAAAUACCGCCAAAUGCAACUUUGAUCUUUGAGGUGGAACUCUUUGAUUGGAAAGGAGUCGAUCUUUCUGAGGACAAAGAUGGAGGCAUCAUGAAGUAUUCAAUCAAGGCGGGCACCGGUGGGAAGACUCCAAACGAUGGUGCAGUUGUCAACAUGAAGUACGUGGGUCGUCAUGGUGACCGUGUGUUUGAAGAGCGGACUGUGCAGUUCACAGUGGGAGAGGGGUCUGACAGUGGAAUCAUUGAAGGGCUGGAGAUGGCCGUUAAGAAGCUGAAGGAAGGAGAGCAGACGAAACUCGUCAUCGCAUCUCGGUAUGCUUACGGACAAGACGGAAAUAAAGAUUUCAACAUUCCACCCGGAGCAGAUCUAGAAUACGAGGUUGAACUUCAGAGUUUUGAAAAGGCAAAGGAAUCAUGGGAAAUGGAUUCCAAAGAAAAAAUUGAGCAGUCUGAAAUCCUCAAAGCCAAAGGAACUAAAUUCUUUAAGGCAGAAAACUACAACCUCGCCAUCAAGAACUACAAGAAGAUCGUGUCAUUCCUGGAGUUUGAGACGGGACUGGAAGAAGCCGAGCAGAAACAGCGUGAUUCAUUAAUUCUUGCAGCCCACCUCAAUUUGGCGAUGGCCAACAUAAAGGCGUCAGACUUUCAUAAAGCCAUUGAACAUUGUGAUAAAGCAUUGGAGAUUGAUUCUAACAAUAUAAAGGCUUUCUUUAGACGUGGCCAGGCUAGAAUGCAGCAAAGAGAUUUUGAAGAUGCUAUUAAAGAUUUCCAGUUGGUGUUGGACAAUGAACCGGAGAAUAAAGCUGCAAAGAACCAGAUUGUCAUCUGUCGCCAAAAGAUCAAACAGUUUUACGAGCAGCAGAAAAAGAUUUACUCGGGAAUGUUUUCAAAGUUUGCAGAACAUGAUAUCAAGGUCAAUCCAAAUAAGAGACCUGACUGGUACAAUUCCUCCAGUGAGGAAGUCUCUAACAAUGUCCAGGAAUGGAAUAACGAUAUGGCCCAAGGCAUGAUGCCUCUGGAGCAGGAGUUAGAAGCGUUUGGUGAAACAAUGCCUGAAAUAGCACCCACCAAAAACGACCACCACAAAUGACCUCCCCUCCCCAUGUGGUGAUAGUGAAGCGGACCCUAAAGGCUUCCCACUGGGAAAUUAAAAAUGCAGGGUGAGCAGAACGGUGAAGCCGGCGAUAACAAGGAGAAUGAAAAGAAUUCGGAGGUCAGUUCAGAAGCCAAAGAAUCUGUUGAAACCAUGGAAACAAGCUGAAUGCUAUCUUAAGCCGGUGAUUACAAGAAAAAUGCACAAAGUUUUCCUGUUGAUUGAUAAAAAUAAAUGUCAUUUUUAAUUAAAAAAUUUUGGGGAUCACUUUAUUACUUUUAAUUAAAAUUGAAAAUGAAAUAACACCUACAGUUACAUGGAAAGAUUGAAAUGUUUGUUGAGUGAUUGGUACUUGUGUGCAGAACAUUAAAUCAAUACACAUGUCCCAUAAGUUUCUCCCCUCCCCCACCCCACCUCUUCCCGAUGAUAUAAUUUUUGUUUCGAGAUUGACACCCACUUGCUGUAGAUUAGAUAUAAUGAUACUGGGGUAUUGUUAAGUUUUCAUUCGUAGCUCCUGUGCUUCAUAUUCCAGGGAAGUCUUUAGUAUUUCACAGAGUGAAACACGGGCAAAACAAAACUUCCAUAGUAAAAAUCUUGAGACCUCCCCACUAAAAAACCCCAAACAAAGACCCCACAAAAAACAACCCACUUCUUGAAACACAAAUUGAACAUCACUGAAUCACUGAGCAAGAUAGUAAUAGGGUUUAUUUGAAAUGCUAAAAAAUUUGUUGAAUAAUUAAAAAUGAGCAAUGUGUUGCAAAACUACCAUCAUGUGGAUGUGCUGAGGAUGUUCAUAGUUUUCUUUUGUAUACCGGUUAGAUCUAUUUACACCACAUUGUGUAUGUGCUAUAAAGUUCCAUUUGGUACGAUUAAAAUGUUGACAUUAUAUUUCUAUUUAAUACAUGUAACCUGUUGUAUGUUGAAUUCCGUGUUUCAUUUGAUAAAUACUUUCAUAAGUUCUUAAUCAUUCGGUUGUUUUUUCCCCCCCACAUUAAAUUCAUAAACCACU